Molecule: transfer RNA, 77 nt
Filed under: Lipingzhangella halophila
Lineage: Bacteria; Bacillati; Actinomycetota; Actinomycetes; Streptosporangiales; Nocardiopsidaceae
Description: tRNA-Val
Rfam family: tRNA
About the family: Transfer RNA (tRNA) molecules are approximately 80 nucleotides in length. Their secondary structure includes four short double-helical elements and three loops (D, anti-codon, and T loops).
Source: RNAcentral
GGGCGGUUAGCUCAGUUGGUUAGAGCGCUACCUUGACACGGUAGAGGUCACUGGUUCGAGUCCAGUAUCGCCCACCA